This 929-nucleotide ribosomal RNA is filed under the name Leuconostoc mesenteroides. RNAcentral's name for it is "bacterial SSU rRNA". It matches the Rfam family "Bacterial small subunit ribosomal RNA", at positions 63 to 977 of the family's 1533-position model. The record is from RNAcentral. Lineage: Bacteria; Bacillati; Bacillota; Bacilli; Lactobacillales; Lactobacillaceae.
CGCACAGCGAAAGGUGCUUGCACCUUUCAAGUGAGUGGCGAACGGGUGAGUAACACGUGGACAACCUGCCUCAAGGCUGGGGAUAACAUUUGGAAACAGAUGCUAAUACCGAAUAAAACUUAGUGUCGCAUGACACAAAGUUAAAAGGCGCUUCGGCGUCACCUAGAGAUGGAUCCGCGGUGCAUUAGUUAGUUGGUGGGGUAAAGGCCUACCAAGACAAUGAUGCAUAGCCGAGUUGAGAGACUGAUCGGCCACAUUGGGACUGAGACACGGCCCAAACUCCUACGGGAGGCUGCAGUAGGGAAUCUUCCACAAUGGGCGAAAGCCUGAUGGAGCAACGCCGCGUGUGUGAUGAAGGCUUUCGGGUCGUAAAGCACUGUUGUAUGGGAAGAACAGCUAGAAUAGGAAAUGAUUUUAGUUUGACGGUACCAUACCAGAAAGGGACGGCUAAAUACGUGCCAGCAGCCGCGGUAAUACGUAUGUCCCGAGCGUUAUCCGGAUUUAUUGGGCGUAAAGCGAGCGCAGACGGUUUAUUAAGUCUGAUGUGAAAGCCCGGAGCUCAACUCCGGAAUGGCAUUGGAAACUGGUUAACUUGAGUGCAGUAGAGGUAAGUGGAACUCCAUGUGUAGCGGUGGAAUGCGUAGAUAUAUGGAAGAACACCAGUGGCGAAGGCGGCUUACUGGACUGCAACUGACGUUGAGGCUCGAAAGUGUGGGUAGCAAACAGGAUUAGAUACCCUGGUAGUCCACACCGUAAACGAUGAACACUAGGUGUUAGGAGGUUUCCGCCUCUUAGUGCCGAAGCUAACGCAUUAAGUGUUCCGCCUGGGGAGUACGACCGCUAGGUUGAAACUCAAAGGAAUUGACGGGGACCCGCACAAGCGGUGGAGCAUGUGGUUUAAUUCGAAGCAACGCGAAGAACCUUACCAG